AGAGUUUGAUCAUGGCUCAGGACGAACGCUGGCGGCGUGCUUAAACACAUGCAAGUCGAACGGUGACCUUGAGAGCUUGCUCUUGGGGGAGCAGUGGCGAACGGGUGAGUAACACGUGAGUAACCUGCCCCUGACUCUGGAAUAAGCGCUGGAAACGGCGUCUAAUACCGGAUACGAGAUGCCACCGCAUGGUGAGUGUCUGGAAAGUUUUUCGGUCUGGGAUGGACUCGCGGCCUAUCAGCUUGUUGGUGAGGUAAUGGCUCACCAAGGCGAUGACGGGUAGCCGGCCUGAGAGGGCGACCGGCCACACUGGGACUGAGACACGGCCCAGACUCCUACGGGAGGCAGCAGUGGGGAAUAUUGCACAAUGGGCGAAAGCCUGAUGCAGCGACGCCGCGUGAGGGAUGACGGCCUUCGGGUUGUAAACCUCUUUCAGCAGGGAAGAAGCGCAAGUGACGGUACCUGCAGAAGAAGCACCGGCUAACUACGUGCCAGCAGCCGCGGUAAUACGUAGGGUGCGAGCGUUGUCCGGAAUUAUUGGGCGUAAAGAGCUUGUAGGCGGUUUGUCGCGUCUGCUGUGAAAAUCCGGGGCUCAACCCCGGACUUGCAGUGGGUACGGGCAGACUAGAGCGUGGUAGGGGAGACUGGAAUUCCUGGUGUAGCGGUGAAAUGCGCAGAUAUCAGGAGGAACACCGAUGGCGAAGGCAGGUCUCUGGGCCACUACUGACGCUGAGAAGCGAAAGCAUGGGGGAGCGAACAGGAUUAGAUACCCUGGUAGUCCAUGCCGUAAACGUUGGGAACUAGGUGUGGGUCUCAUUCCACGAGAUCCGUGCCGCAGCUAACGCAUUAAGUUCCCCGCCUGGGGAGUACGGCCGCAAGGCUAAAACUCAAAGGAAUUGACGG
This 903-nucleotide ribosomal RNA is filed under the name uncultured bacterium. RNAcentral describes it as "bacterial SSU rRNA". It matches the Rfam family "Bacterial small subunit ribosomal RNA", at positions 8 to 916 of the family's 1533-position model. The record is from RNAcentral.